GACGAAGGUGGCAAGCGUUGUUCGGUAUUACUGGGCUUAAAGCGUGUGUAGGCGGAUAAAUUAGCGUUUUGUGAAAUCCCUCGGCUCAACCGAGGAAUUGCUUGACGAACUGUUUAUCUUGAGGCAAGUAGGGGUGCACGGAACUCUUGGUGGAGCGGUGGAAUGCGUAGAUAUCAAGAGGAACGCCAGUGGUGAAGACGGUGCACUGGGCUUGUUCUGACGCUGAGACACGAAAGCGUGGGGAGCAAACAGG
This 253-nucleotide ribosomal RNA is filed under the name uncultured bacterium. RNAcentral describes it as "partial 16S ribosomal RNA". It matches the Rfam family "Bacterial small subunit ribosomal RNA", at positions 524 to 776 of the family's 1533-position model. The record is from RNAcentral.